AACCAACAAGAUUCAACGCCAUACUGAAUGGGAGAAGAUAUUAGUAAAUGAUGUAUCUGAUGAGUUAACAUACAAAUUAUAUAAAGAAUUC
Molecule: non-coding RNA, 91 nt
Organism: Callorhinus ursinus (northern fur seal)
Lineage: Eukaryota; Metazoa; Chordata; Mammalia; Carnivora; Otariidae
Source: RefSeq, a predicted model, not a curated record